UACGUAGGGUGCGAGCGUUAAUCGGAAUUACUGGGCGUAAAGCGUGCGUAGGCGGGUUUUUAAGUCAGGGGUGAAAUCCUGGAGCUCAACUCCAGAACUGCCUUUGAUACUGAAGAUCUUGAGUCCGGGAGAGGUGAGUGGAACUGCGAGUGUAGAGGUGAAAUUCGUAGAUAUUCGCAAGAACACCAGUGGCGAAGGCGGCUCACUGGCCCGGUACUGACGCUGAGGCACGAAAGCGUGGGGAGCAAACAGG
RNAcentral lists this ribosomal RNA (253 nucleotides) under uncultured prokaryote. Its description in RNAcentral is "partial 16S ribosomal RNA". It matches the Rfam family "Bacterial small subunit ribosomal RNA", at positions 524 to 776 of the family's 1533-position model. The record is from RNAcentral.